RNAcentral lists this ribosomal RNA (482 nucleotides) under uncultured bacterium. Its description in RNAcentral is "partial 16S ribosomal RNA". It matches the Rfam family "Bacterial small subunit ribosomal RNA", at positions 28 to 523 of the family's 1533-position model. The record is from RNAcentral.
GACGAACGCUGGAGGCGUGCUUAACACAUGCAAGUCGAACGAUGAAAUGGAGCUUGCUCCAUGGAUUAGUGGCGAACGGGUGAGUAACACGUGAAUAACCUGCCCCUAAUUUUGGAAUAACCCAGGGAAACCUGGGCUAAUACCGGAUAAGUAAACCUGUGGCAUCACAUGGUUUUGGAAAGUUUUUCGAUUAAGGAUGGAUUCGCGGCCUAUCAGCGUGUUGGUGAGGUAAUGGCUAACCAAGGCGACGACGGGUAGACGGCCUGAGAGGGUGAACGGCCACACUGGGACUGAGACACGGCCCAGACUCCUACGGGAGGCAGCAGUGGGGAAUAUUGCGCAAUGGACGAAAGUCUGACGCAGCGACGCCUCGUGAGGGACGAAGGUCUUCGGAUUGUAAACCUCUUUCAGCAGGGACGAAGCGAAAGUGACGGUACCUGCAGAAGAAGCACCGGCUAACUAUGUGCCAGCCGCCGCGGUAA